CCCUUAGAUGUUCUGGGCCGCACACGCGCUACACUGAAGGAGGCAGCGUGUACUCCUGGAUCGAAAGAUUUGGGUAACCCGCGAAUCUCCUUCGUGCUAGGGAUUGAGGUUUGCAAUUAUCCUUCAUGAACGAGGAAUUCCCAGUAAGUGCAAGUCAUAAGCUUGCGCUGACUACGUCCCUGCCCUUUGUACACACCGUCCGUCGCUACUACCGAUUGAAUGAUUUAGUGAGGACUUCGGACUGGGACCGAUGCGGCUUUCGGGCUGCGUCGGUAUUCUGGAAAGAUGUCCAAACUGUAUCAUUUAGAGGAAGUAAAAGUCGUANCA
RNAcentral lists this ribosomal RNA (327 nucleotides) under uncultured eukaryote. RNAcentral's name for it is "partial 18S ribosomal RNA". It matches the Rfam family "Eukaryotic small subunit ribosomal RNA", at positions 1470 to 1796 of the family's 1831-position model. The record is from RNAcentral.